AGGUGGACGAGGAGGACGAGGAUUUGUGCUCGCAAUAUCCAGGUAACCCGAGGUGCUUAUCGGUGGUUGUUGGAGGUGGUUGGCGGUGGUUGGAGGUUGUCGGAGGUGGACGAGGAGAACAAGGUGGACGAGGAAGUCGAGGAUUUGUACACUGGUUAGAAUUAUCUGAUUUAAAAAGUGUCCUGCAAAACGAUUUUACGACGAAAAGUUUCCAAACUCCGAGAGUCGCAAAUUUUUGGCUGAUUUUGGGAUAUGCUGAUAUCGAUUUAUUCACACCCAGUAUCAACAUAAUUUUGCAACGAAUCAAAACUUACGGCUGAAAAACAUCAAAUUUGCACUGGAUUUUUAACGAGGUGGGAAAG
Neodiprion fabricii is the source of this 362-nucleotide long non-coding RNA. RefSeq lists it as uncharacterized. The transcript has 3 exons. NCBI's taxonomy places the organism in Eukaryota, Metazoa, Arthropoda, Insecta, Hymenoptera, Diprionidae. The record is from RefSeq and is a predicted model, not a curated record.